RNAcentral lists this long non-coding RNA (256 nucleotides) under Elaeis guineensis (African oil palm). RNAcentral describes it as "long non-coding RNA (EGUI_LNC071792)". Lineage: Eukaryota; Viridiplantae; Streptophyta; Magnoliopsida; Arecales; Arecaceae. The record is from RNAcentral.
CCCCAUCGUUCAAAAGAAUUGAGACAAGAUCUUCAAUUGGCUCACCCUAUUCUUCAGCAAGGUCGUCGUGGGUGUCUAAUCCAUCAAUCGGAUAGGAGUCAGACUGACCAUUUCUUUGUAAGGCUAUGUUGUAGCAGUGUCUUGCUAGGACUUGAUCUCCUCUGACCUCUCCGACCCCUUGGCUUGUAGGAAAUUUUAAUUUUAAAUGGUAGGUCGAUACCACAGCUCGGAGGGCGUUGAGGCCAGGUCGGUCGAG